GUUAGCCGUGGUGGCGACCCUGACUGGAGAUUACGACGACGACUGGGCUUCUGGGGAGGAGCGGUGGAGUUCGUACUACAAGGUGUCUGAGAUGGCGGCUUGGAAUGGGAUAACGACAUUGGUGGCUGGAAAGUUUGGCAGGGGCUAAGAUUGGUUCACCAUAACAGAAGUGGAAACAAAGAUGAGAACCACUGAAUUCCACCAGAUCAGCAUCGGUUGAUCUUCGCCGGGAAGCGGCUUGAAGAUGGGCGAACUCUAGCGGAUUACAACAUCCAGAAGGAAUCAACCCUUCAUCUUGUCCUCAGGCUUCGUGGUGGUAUCAUUGAACCUUCAUUGGCUCUUGCUCGCAAGUACAACCAAGACAAGAUGAUUUGCCGUCCGCUGUGUAAUUCCCCUAGUUGCUCGCUGGUUGAUGGAAAUAUGGACAUGAUUCCUGCCUGUUCAUAUUUGCACGAUCUGGUAUGUUUGGAUGGCUGAUCCUGGUGCGGUUUCAAUGCAAUUGCUGACCCUCUGAUGUUGAUUGGAGCGAUGGAAGGCUAUUGAUUUUUUGAAGGCUGUUACAGGGUCAUUUUGCCAAGAAGGGAAGUAGCAUGGCUGGAAAUCACUGCUCAAGUUUCUAGUCGCCGUCGCUCACCUCCCACCGCGGACUACCGCCACCGGUGCUUCCAGUCUCAUAUCCUCCACCAACCCCUCCAUCACAAUCUUCAAUGGCUUCUCCCCCACCGCCUUUGAAGUUCUACAAUCCACCUUCAUCACGAGGUUCAGCACAGCCUACAGUGAUUGCUGGAAAUCCCAAUUACCUUUAUUAUGCUUCAUGUGCAUCUGAUUUUUCUAUUCAUAACAUACACUUCUUUCUAUUAUUAUUGUUACUUCAACGGGUAUUCUUUUGUUGGUAAUUGUGGUAACAAUAAUUGUGCAGUGUUAUAGAAAAACUGUAUUGUAUUUGGGAAAUUAUUACUCCCUCCAUCUAUUCCUAUA
Lotus japonicus is the source of this 978-nucleotide long non-coding RNA. RefSeq lists it as uncharacterized. The transcript is spliced from 4 exons. Lineage: Eukaryota; Viridiplantae; Streptophyta; Magnoliopsida; Fabales; Fabaceae. The record is from RefSeq and is a predicted model, not a curated record.